Long non-coding RNA from Oncorhynchus gorbuscha (pink salmon), 1349 nucleotides. RefSeq lists it as uncharacterized. The transcript is spliced from 3 exons. The record is from RefSeq and is a predicted model, not a curated record. NCBI's taxonomy places the organism in Eukaryota, Metazoa, Chordata, Actinopteri, Salmoniformes, Salmonidae.
UGUACAGUGUCCUCUAAGGUAAAUGUGUACAGUGUCCUCUAAGGUAAAUGUGUACAGUGUCCUCUAAGGUAAAUGUGUACAGUGUCCUCUAAGGUAAAUGUGUACAGUGUCCUCUAAGGUAAAUGUGUACAGUGUCCUCUAAGGUAAAUGUGUACAGUGUCCUCUAAGGUAAAUGUGUACAGUGUCCUCUAAGGUAAAUGUGUACAGUGUCCUCUAAGGUAAAUGUGUACAGUGUCCUCUAAGGUAAAUGUGUACAGUGUCCUCUAAGGUAAAUGUGUACAGUGUCCUCUAAGGUAAAUGUGUACAGUGUCCUCUAAGGUAAAUGUGUACAGUGUCCUCUAAGGUAAAUGUGUCCAGUGUCCUCUAAGGUAAAUGUGUCCAGUGUCCUCUAAGGUAAAUGUGUACAGUGUCCUCUAAGGUAAAUGAGUGAAAACCAUUGAAACAGGAGCACAAAAUAUCUUGAAACAGACUUUGUUCAGAGUGCAAAAUACAUUUUUAAAUAGUUAUUUUUCUUCAUAUAACUUAAGUUACAUUUUACUUGUAAAAUGUAACUACUAUAUGAGGAGGGCAAGGCAAAUAAAUGUAAUACAUAUGGGUCUUAUUUCACAAAUACUGGACAGGUCAAGGUUACUGUUCACCCAUCCUAGACUCAAGGUAGCAAUUCAUAUUAUUGGUCUUUGUCCCUGUUUCAGUUAAGAAUCAAAGAUGGUAUCAGCUUAUGGAGUUCUCCAGUUACUACAACAAUGCACCGUUGUUGCCUAGCAAUCCGGCACGGUUAAAAAGUUGCUCCAUGAGCCUUUACAGGAGAGUCCGAGAGUCUGAAACAUGGGUGAAUGUAUCUCUGUCCACAUUGGCCAAGCUGGGGCUCAAAUUGGAAAUGCAUGCUGGGAGCUCUAUUGCCUGGAGCAUGUGAUCCAGCUGGAUAGACAGAUGCCAAGUGAAGGGGAAAUGACUCCUUCAACACCUUCUUCAGCUGACCAAGGCACUGGGCUCCAGGGCUUCCUGAUCUUCCACAGGAGGCACCGGCUCUGGGUUCACCUCCCUGCUGAUGGAACGUCUGUCUGUCGACUAUGGAAAGAAGUCCAAGCUUGAAUUUGCUGUUUACCCUGCUCACCAAGUUUCUACUGCUGUGGUGGAGCCUUACAACUCCAUCCUGACUACCCACACCACCCUGGAGCACUCGGACUGUGCCUUCAUGGUGGACAAUGAGGCCAUCUAUGAAAUCUGCUGGGUUUUUCACGCUCAACAGUUUCCUGUGUGUAUCAAGAAUGGUCCACCACCCAAAGGACAUUCAGCCAACUUGACACAACUGUGGGAAGGAUUGGAGUCAACAUGGGCCAGCAUCCCUG